AGCAGCCGCGGUAAUUCCAGCUCCAAUAGCGUAUAUUAAAGUUGUUGCAGUUAAAAAGCUCGUAGUUGAAUUUCGGGAUUGACGUGAUGGUCAUGCCUUAAGGGGUAUGAACUGUUACAGUUGAUUUCUCACCUUCUGGAGAAACUUGAUGUCCUUUAUUGGGUGUCUUGCGGAUCCAGGACCUUUACCUUGAAAAAAUUAGAGUGUUUAAAGCAGGCAUUUUUGCUCGAAUACAUUAGCAUGGAAUAAUAGAAUAGGACGGCAUGGUUCUAUUUUGUUGGUUUCUAGGAUCACCGUAAUGAUUAAUAGGGAUAGUUGGGGGCAUUAGUAUUCAAUUGUCAGAGGUGAAAUUCUUGGAUUUAUUGUAAGACUAACUACUGCGAAAGCAUUUGCCAAGGAUGUUUUCAUUAAUCAAGAACGAAAGUUAGGGGAUCGAAGACGAUCAGAUACCGUCGUAGUCUUAACCAUAAACUAUGCCGACUAGGAAUCGAGUACGAUGUUAAUUUUUAAUUGACUACGU
This 520-nucleotide ribosomal RNA is filed under the name uncultured Glomus. RNAcentral's name for it is "SSU rRNA". It matches the Rfam family "Eukaryotic small subunit ribosomal RNA", at positions 569 to 1077 of the family's 1831-position model. Lineage: Eukaryota; Fungi; Glomeromycota; Glomeromycetes; Glomerales; Glomeraceae. The record is from RNAcentral.